UCCUCUUCAAGAAGUGUAACUGCCUUCAUAAUGAGAGGCCUUCCUUCUCCAGAUACACUUGUGUCCUGAGCUCCCUCAUGUGCGCCUAAGACCUGCGUUUCCUGCUACCUCAUCCUAAAAUCUGAUUUAUGACUCCUAAACCUAUAGCAAACUUCUCCUACAUUAUUAGCUUUAAUGCUUUAUUGUUUAAAACUUUAUUUAUUAAGCCUAGCAAUUCUAUCUCCCAUGAUUGUUCUGUCCAUAUCACCAAUAGCUGAAAAACAAGCAAAAUAUUUUCCCUCUGCUACUUAAGCCUGUUUUAAAACAUUGUUGCUUGAUCUUACUCAUGUUCUGCAUUUCUCUGACCUUCUAUCUAUCGCUUUAAGUUUUUGUCUGUAUCCGUACUUGACACUUCUAUUUCUUCAGAGAACAAUUUUGGCCAAUCAGCUGUAACAUUUGGAUUCUGGAGAUUUAGGGUAGCUAAUUAUGAGUUACACAGGCCAGGAGUAGAACUACAAGGGAUGCAGAGGAUCGCAACUGUGACUGGGCCCCCGAGGAUGGGGACCCAGCUCAAAAAAAAAAAAAAUCUCAAUAAAAAACGUUGACCUGCCACUGCCUGCACUGAUAUCAUGUGUUUAAGCCAGGUAAAAGGUUAUAUACAGUACAUUGUCAACAUUGUGCUCCUCUGAUGAGGAUGAGGUGGUGAGCAACUGACAACCAGGAAUCUGUGGAUUUGGAAGAUAUCACAUGCAAGAUGGCAGAGUUACACCCUUACUUCAAAAACCUAUGUGUUGCACUGAGUGUAUUUGACAAGCUGAGUUUGACACUCAGUGUGACAGAGUGUCAGUUUGUCAAAUACCCCAAGUGAGGCACUGUCUUUCACCGAAUGUCUUCAGUCUGGCCAAAAAUACUUCUGGAACACCACUAAUCUCAAUAUUUCAUUAAAGGACCAUACAAUACAGUGAAUUGGAUAAUCAGCAAUUGCCUAAUAAAAAGACAAGGCAAUAUAACUUACUCAAACAAGCAAUAGUUUUUUUUCUAGUAAAUUUGAAAUUUCCUCCUGUACCAUGUGAUAGCCAUCAUCAAAUUAUAGGCUCAUCUGUAUACACUGUGAACUCAGUAGGAGCUGAAAGUGUGCAUAUAAAGUGUGCAUAUAAAUUGUGCAUAUAAAGUGUGUAUAUAAAUUGUGCAUAUAAAGUGUGUAUAUAAAGUGUGCAUAUAAAGUGUGCAUAUAAAGUGUGUAUAUAAAGUGUGCAUAUAAAGUGUGCAUAUAAAGUGUGUAUAUAAAGUGUGCAUAUAAAGUGUGUAUAUAAAGUGUGCAUAUAAAGUGUGUAUAUAAAGUGUGUAUAUAAAGUGUGCAUAUAAAGUGUGUAUAUAAAGUGUGCAUAUAAAGUGUGCAUAUAAAGUGUGCAUAUAAAGUGUGUAUAUAAAGUGUGUAUAUAAAGUUUGAAUAUAAAGUGUGCAUAUAAAGUGUGCAUAUAAAGUGUGCAUAUAAAGUGUGCAUAUAAAGUGUGUAUAUAAAGUGUGCAUAUAAAGUGUGUAUAUAAAGUGGGCAUAUAAAGUGUGUAUAUAAAGUGUGCAUAUAAAGUGUGUAUAUAAAGUGUGCAUAUAAAGUGUGCAUAUAAAGUUCGAAUAUAAAGUGUGCAUAUAAAGUGUGCAUAUAAAGUGUGUAUAUAAAGUGUGUAUAUAAAGUGUGUAUAUAAAGUUUGAAUAUAAAGUGUGCAUAUAGUUAAAGUGUGCAUAUAAAGUGCGUAUAUAAAGUGUAUAUAUAAAGUGUAUAUAUAAAGUGUGUAUAUAAAGUGUGUAUAUAAAGUGUGCAUAUAAAGUGUGCAUAUAAAGUGUGUAUAUAAAGUGUGUAUAUAAAGUGUGUAUAUAAAGUGUGUAUAUAAAGUUUGAAUAUAAAGUGUGCAUAGUUUGAUAAUGAAGGUAAAUUGGAAAGUUUAUUUUUUAUUAAAUUGCAUGCUCUAUCUGA
Molecule: long non-coding RNA, 1951 nt
Organism: Bombina bombina (fire-bellied toad)
Lineage: Eukaryota; Metazoa; Chordata; Amphibia; Anura; Bombinatoridae
Exons: 4
Source: RefSeq, a predicted model, not a curated record